This 542-nucleotide ribosomal RNA is filed under the name uncultured archaeon. RNAcentral's name for it is "bacterial SSU rRNA". It matches the Rfam family "Archaeal small subunit ribosomal RNA", at positions 457 to 997 of the family's 1478-position model. The record is from RNAcentral.
GCCAGCCGCCGCGGGAACACCAGCGGCCCGAGUGGUGAUCGUGAUUAUGGGUCUAAAGGGUCCGUAGCCGGUUUGGUCAGUCCUCCGGGAAAUCUGAUAGCUCAACUAUUAGGCUUUCGGGGGAUACUGCCAGACUUGGAACCGGGAGAGGUAAGAGGUACUACAGGGGGUAGGAGUGAAAUCUUGUAAUCCCUGUGGGACCACCUGUGGCGAAGGCGUCUUACCAGAACGGGUUCGACGGUGAGGGACGAAAGCUGGGGGCACGAACCGGAUUAGAUACCCGGGUAGUCCCAGCCGUAAACGAUGCUCGCUAGGUGUCAGGCAUGGCGCGACCGUGUCUGGUGCCGCAGGGAAGCCGUGAAGCGAGCCACCUGGGAAGUACGGCCGCAAGGCUGAAACUUAAAGGAAUUGGCGGGGGAGCACAACAACGGGUGGAAGCCUGCGGUUUAAUUGGACUCAACGCCGGACGACUCACCGGGGGCGACAGCAAUAUGUAGGCCAAGCUGAAGACUUUGCCUGAAUCGCUGAGGGGAGGUGCAUGG